ACGAACGCUGGCGGCGUGCCUAAUACAUGCAAGUCGAACGGCUUUUCUAUGGAAGCUUGCUUCCACUGAGAAGAUAGUGGCGAACGGGUGAGUAACACGUGGGUAACCUGCCCAUAAGAGGGGGAUAACAUCCGGAAACGGGUGCUAAUACCGCAUAGUUUUCUUGAUCGCAUGAUUGAGAAAGGAAAGACGGCCUUUGUGCUGUCGCUUAUGGAUGGACCCGCGGCGUAUUAGUUAGUUGGUGAGGUAACGGCUCACCAAGACGAUGAUACGUAGCCGACCUGAGAGGGUGAUCGGCCACAUUGGGACUGAGACACGGCCCAAACUCCUACGGGAGGCAGCAGUAGGGAAUCUUCCGCAAUGGACGAAAGUCUGACGGAGCAACGCCGCGUGAGUGAAGAAAGGUUUUCGGAUCGUAAAACUCUGUUGUCAGAGAAGAACAAGUUGGAGAGUAACUGCUCCAGCCUUGACGGUAUCUGACCAGAAAGCCACGGCUAACUACGUGCCAGCCGCUGC
This 516-nucleotide ribosomal RNA is filed under the name uncultured bacterium. RNAcentral's name for it is "bacterial SSU rRNA". It matches the Rfam family "Bacterial small subunit ribosomal RNA", at positions 29 to 518 of the family's 1533-position model. The record is from RNAcentral.